Molecule: non-coding RNA, 114 nt
Organism: Acanthosepion pharaonis
Lineage: Eukaryota; Metazoa; Mollusca; Cephalopoda; Sepiida; Sepiidae
Source: the annotation of a GenBank genome assembly
CUUGCGAUCAUAUCACGUUGAAACUCCGGUUCAUGUUAGAUCACCGAAGUUAAGCAACGUCGAACCUGGUCAGUAUCUAGACUGAUGACCACUUGGGAAUACCAGAUGAUGUAA